UACAGAGGGUGCAAGCGUUGUUCGGAAUUAUUGGGCGUAAAGCGCGUGUAGGCGGCUUUGCAAGUCGGGUGUGAAAGCCCUCAGCUCAACUGAGGAAGUGCGCCCGAAACUGCAGAGCUUGAGUACCGGAGAGGAUGGUGGAAUUCCCCAAGUAGAGGUGAAAUUCGUAGAUAUGGGGAGGAACACCGGUGGCGAAGGCGACCAUCUGGACGGAUACUGACGCUGAGGCGCGAAAGCCAGGGGAGCGAACGGG
RNAcentral lists this ribosomal RNA (253 nucleotides) under uncultured bacterium. Its description in RNAcentral is "partial 16S ribosomal RNA". It matches the Rfam family "Bacterial small subunit ribosomal RNA", at positions 524 to 776 of the family's 1533-position model. The record is from RNAcentral.